UUUCACUUUAGUAGUAUCAUUGGUGUAAUUUGCCUUGUACCUACAUUCAAUUCACAUUCAAGCACAACUUACAUUUUCUCUAAUUCCUAUCUUAAAGCAAUUUUAUCAUCUCCAUUUUUAUCAAUAGAAUGCACUGUUUGGGCUGUUACAAUUAUUUUGAUUUUCCCACUAGAUUACUGUGGCAUUUAAGGACAUUUUCAUUUUGUCGGAUUGCAUUUAAAAAGUUAACUAACGGAAUGCCCAUUAUCAGCUCAUUAUUUUUUCGGGCUUUUUUUUUCUGUUUGUUUGUUUGUUUGUUUGUUUGGGGUUUUUUUGGAGUUUUUGGAGGGGUUUUUGGAGUUUUUUGGAUCCUUUCCUGAAGCGCCUCAAAUUCAUCAUUUGCUUCAUCAUUACUUUCAGUAUUGUAAAAAUCAGUCUUUAAAACAGUUGCUGAUUAUGUUAUUGAUUUGCCCCCUUUUCUGUAUUUUGUUACAAAAACAAACAAAUUAGGUUCACUUAUAGAUUAAUAACUUCUUGUUGAUCAGUUUCAUUUUUGUUAUGAUGAUUUGUCCAGUGAAGUUCCUUAACAGUCACUUUUUUGACUUAGAAACUUGGGUGUUUGCACAAGUUGAAAAGUGUGCAAUUCUUCAUUAUUAAUUUCAGUUCCGACUCAUUACCCAAUGAACAUAAACGAAGAAGUUCAGUGUGAGUCAAAUUAAGAACACAUAUACUUGAUGUUUGAGCAAAUUAAUUUUUUUUUACACCUAUGCAACACUGAUAUACAAAACCAAAAUCUGAAUGAGAAGGAUAGUAAACAAGAGCUGUUUCAGCACAUGAUUUUGUUGUUCUUGAUCAUUUCUAUACAGCAGAAAACUGGUGUGCCAGAGACAAUCACUCUCUGGAUACCUAUCUAGGAAUCCUUUGUCACAACCUUCAUAACUGCAAUUUAUUUUACAGUGCCAAGCAGUAUUUGAAAAAUAUUUCUGAGUCCUGCAUGACUUUAUUGGUAGUUCAGAUGGCUGUAGCGCCAGACAUUGCAAUGUGUGGUUGACACUGUUUGGGUUGUCACUGGGCAUCUUCUUGGGUACAGACUCCCUUUCCUCCCCCAUCCCAGUGCCAGUGCUAUCCAGAGAGCUGAGGCCCCAAUUCUUCAAAACACUCUGUUAAGAAGUAAGAACACAAAAGCAUAGACUGUGGCCUAUAAAUAGUUUUGUUCAUCUUGCAGUAGAUUGACCUUGUAAUGCAUCCUAGUUUACUCUUAAGCCCAUCUCUGGCAGAAUGCAGUAGUCUCCUGAAGGAUAUUUUAGCUAGGAUAUUUUAAAUUGCUGCUAGCCAACUGGGAGUUUGAAAUAAAAGGGAAAAGAGCAAAGGGUUUUCAUUUUUCAUGAAUCUGAAAGUCUUUCUUUCUGUUGUGCUAGUUGCAGUUGCCAUGGUUUACUUCUCGAUGGGAGCAGGGAUUGCCUUAGUGAUGUCAUCAGGAAAAGUGAGUGGCAGACUGAUUGCAAGUGUGUGUUGGGACAGCAGGUCAGGAAAAAAGUAACACCAUCAUCACAAGAUACAGGUAGACAGAUUUUCUCCUGAAGAACAGUUAGAUUAAUAGGAUGUGCAUGUUUUGAAGCUGCCAACAAGAAAACAGGAGUUGUUUUCCAGAAGAAGGCUGCUGGCUCUGUUAUGGCUCCACCAUCCAGCAGUUUCACCAGUCAAGCUUGUUUACAUUCCUGCCUGUGUCCUCCAUUCCCUCCCAGUGAAAGUUUGACACUCCCAAUUAGGCCACUAAAAACAAGUGUCAGGUGGAGCCAUCGCCUGAAUCCCUGUGAGGAUCUGACUUAAAAACAACAGUCAAGAAAAAGGCCAUGUUCCCCUCUAUGGUUUCAGGGAUCUGUUGACAGGGCAGUCUCAGAUAUAGGCACAGGAUUGUUGCUGAAGGAGCACUGUGCUGGAGUACGAAGUAUGGAAACCCAGGGACCAGGACCAAAUUAUGACAGGAGUUCCUUAAGGCCAAAAUGUCUUCAAUACCAUGCUGAUUACAGACAUGCUACUUGAGUGCUAGACUAGACAUUAAUGCCAGCAAAGAAUUGGAAACAAACUUGUGAGAUUCUUUCUGUCCAAUAUUAUCAGCAUGAUCUCCAAGGAUUUUCACUGCCAAGAUGCUGAAAUGUACAGAGUGAUGAAAGAAGAAGAUCAGAGAUAAGAGAUCAGACAAAGUCAGUGGGCUUGUGUGUGAUACCGUAUGUGGGAAGAAACCUGAGUCGAUGAUCAGCUGACCGUAGAUGUUGUGUCUGGUACACAGCAAUCAUAUAAUAUUGUCUCUUUCAGUUUCAGCUGCACCUGUUUUACUCAUGCUGUUGUUUGGGUUACUAAAUAAAUCCUUCAGUAGCCAGUGCAGAACAGCUGAGUUUUUCUUCUUGGUUUUAGGAAAGCAUUUUCCAACACUAACAGCAAAAUAUUCUAAGUAAAAAAAACCACUUACUGAUGACUCUUUCUAGCUGUACAACAAAUUCUCAUUUGGCUCUUAAUGCCCUACUGUGUGGACAUUGUUUAAAUUGUCAAUUUAUAAAGUCAAAAUUUGCCAAUGUACCUUUUUCAAUAGACAUUUUUUAAGCUUCUCCCUUAGGAUAAUUCAAGGACAGUAUUCUAGGCUUCUCAAAAUAUGUGUAUUUAAUUAUUACUUUCAGCAGCAUAAAUUCCAGUGUUUAAUACUGAGCUCAUAAAAUCAGAUGCAGCCACUUAGUAAUAAAAUUUAUCUUCAAAGGACUUUGAGUUAAGAACCACCACAUGCUGCUUUUAAGUUUUGUAUCUACAAAUACAAUAAAUUGUGGAUUUUUAGAAAAAGAGUAACUGGCAUUUUAAGAGGAGCAAAUGCAGACAUGAGAAAGUGCUGUGCACAUUUGUUCAUUUAAAAAGCUUUUUUUUCAUUUUGUAUAUUUCCAGAUACUCUCAUUUUCUUAUCUCCAGGAGAGUUCAAAUUAAUGUAGUUCCUGAAAUCUUUGAAUUGUAAUAGCAUCUUCCUCCUUGUUUCUGAGUGAAAUUCUUCAGCAGCAAGGAUCUCUACUGGUUAUUUUAAUAUUACAAUUACAGUACUGAAAUCAUAAGGACAAAAUUGUCAGUUAAGGUGCUGUUUGUAAUUGAGAUGUCUUUUCAUUUCUGCACAGGGGUCCUGUUCAACCAGCAUUCCUAGGAAAAAUAUGCAGUUUCCUUGAAAGAAGUUUAUUAUGCAUUUUCUUGAAAGAUGUUAAAAAUGAGUCAUAUGAAACCUUUACCAAAACUGUCCUUAGUAUUUUGGCAAAAUUUAAAACAUUUAUUGCAGUGAAUUUUUGACAAGUUCAGCUUUCAAAAGUCUUUACUUCACGUCGUAAUGUAACAAAUGCUUCACUAUCUGUUCCUUGUAACAUAUAAAAAUACUCAUCAACUGAUUAAAAAAUACAUCAAGCCAGAUGGCGCAAAGAAAAUGUUUCCAGAGAGUUGUAAUUUACAAGAUAAAUAGUGAUUAGAGCAGCAUUCAUGUUGUCUAAAUAGAGAGUACUUGUGUGUGUUCAGAGUGUGUGUAGAAUAAAUGUUGAAUACUCUUGGUACGUUUACACCCUCUCGUUAUGACCAAAGACCAUGCAGAGAGAAUCAAAUAAUGAGUAGUAAUUUCAGAACUGUAAAUAUGAGGCAAACAGAGCUAUAGGGUCAGUGAAGAAGAAGAGAACAGAUUCUAGGAACUAGUAGUCACAUUAACUCAGAAAAGGUGUGUGAGCAGUGGGGGAAAUGGAGUAAAAAUCUAGAAGCAUUUGAUAGUGGCCGUCUCUGAGCCUCUGUAAUAAUUGCAAGGGAGAUAAAGCUGCAUUUCCAAGUUACCUUGCUCCUGAGGAAUCAGCCAAGUGCAUUGCACUCUCCGUGUUGCUCCUGGCAGAGGUGGCACACUCUGCUUAUGUGGGGUGAUUUGUACUCCUGAUGGCAGACAGGAGGUUGUGAUCACAGGGAAUGCCAGAAGGUUUUUAACUCUGGCACAGAUGUCAAUACCUUCCAUAGAACCUUCUACCCAGGGAGCAAAAAACUCUGAUAAACAUUUGUAGAUUAAAUAUACCAAUGUUUCUGGAAGCACGUGAAAUUAGUUUGCUGAAAACAUGGAAGUAUAUGAUCCAAGUAAAGUCCUAGGGAGAACCCUGUCUCACCCUCUUGCUGUGAACUGCCUUGUAUGGUUGGCGUGACAAUGGGAGAAAAUUUCAGAAGGUGAUUUUUGGAGGAGAUAUAUUUGCCCUCAGCCGGGGAAGUUCAGAAGUGAGACUCAGCAUCCACGGCACUGGCACGUUUCUGUGUUGACCUGUAAUCCAGUUGCCUCUGCUGACUGCAAGGCAGAGAGCUUCAGAAUAUUGUCCUGUGAACUGAUCCCCAAAGGACUAAAACAAAUCAAACAUGGAUUGAUAUUUUGGGGCGUUAAUUCUGCACUGGAUCAUAUCUGUGAAAAAACUUCUAUCUUCUGUACUGUAAAAUGAUAUUAUUGUUAUAUGUAUUGUUAUAUAUUGUUAUGUUAUUGUAUGUGGUGGCUUUUUAAGCGAUUUCACUGGCAAGCACUUCACCAUCUAUGCAAGUAUAUAAAUCUCCUGCAAAAGUGCUGCUAUUCAAACAGAAAUCUCUUCACAGGGAAUCUCGAAAGACUUUUUAAAGUGAAUAUAUACUGCAGAGCACAUUCCUAAUUAAAAUUGGCAUGAUAAUUUGAAUGGUUGGGACAAAGGUUGUUUAGGACGUUAACCACAUAAUAGAGAUUGAUGAGCAUUUUAGCACUGUUUCUAAGGUUAGCCAGUUAUUAAAAAUUUAUUGUUGUCCAGUCGAAUAAGUACAUUUUCAUAAGUCUUGAUUACAUUUAAGUGUUCAUUAAUGAACUACAAAUGUGUAAGGACUCCUGCUAUGUACUAAUAUAGCACCAGACAUAAGGCUACAUGUAUAGAACUAAGUAAAGAUCACAGAACACAGAAUAUUCUGUGUUGGAAGAGAUCCACAAGGAUCAUGAAGUGGAUGGCUCAUAUGGAGAUCAACCCCACAACUUUGGCAUUAUUAGCACCAUGCUCUAACCAGCUGAGCUCACCUCAGUGUUGAGAAGUACAAUAUUUAACGAUGAGACACAGAGCAAGGUGAUUCUAGAAUGUCUCCUGUCUUUAGAAGCAGUGUUUGUAGCUAUCACAGUGAAUUCAAACAGAGCAGAAACCUGACUAGUAGUCAGGGAUUGUCAGAGAACUCAGGAAAAAAAAAAAUUGCCAUCUGCCUUGCACCUCCAUAGAAUGCUCAUGUUUCUGCCUUUUAGUGUAUUUUUUCUCUCCCUGAAGGCUGGAUUGAGGAAGAAGAUGGGGAAUUUGAAUCUUCACUGUUGAAGGCAAAGAAAGGUAAAACAACACCAGAAAUACAUGACAGAGCUGGAAAGGUUACAGGACUCUUUUUCAGGGGAUGCUGGUAUGGGGAAGGAGAACUCCCUAUCCAGAAGCCUCACUGGUUGCAGAGUGAACUGGCAGCUUGAUGCAUUUCCCUGCAUGCCCAGACAUGCAGCAGCUCACGUGUCAGUGAGCCUGACAAAAACAAUGUUGAAAAACUUGGCAAGAGAAUGGUUCCCCAAAACUCUUUUCUGUAUCUGGAAGGAAAAGGAAAGGAAGUGUGAAAAAGCACUUGCAUCACUUGUUCGGUUUGGUGCACUGAUGUCUCACUGAGAGCCACUUACUUCUGCAUUAUUGUAUUUCUUUUUUUCUAAAGGUACGAAGUUCUUACAAAUGUCACGUUAUUUUGGCCUGAAGAAGCUUUCCUUUCCUCUUGAAUCUACUGACAUUAAAACUCCAAGCCAGAACAAUCUGUCUGCCUCAGAGCCUCAGGCUUAUAGCAGUAGCAGUGUGUGGCGGGUGACCCUCAGAUCACAUUCCUGUGUGGCUUCAGAACUGGCUGCACAACACAGCCUCCCAAAAAACUGCCUCCCACAGCUCCUGGGGGCAGUGGGAUGCUCACAGCAAUAAACUAUGUCAGUGAAACCAGAAUGAGACCUUCAUGGCUCAAAGGACUUCCCCAGGGAGAAGAGAGGGAAAAGGAUUAGCAGCUAAAUUAUCACUGGUUGCAAAUUAAGAUGGAAGUUGGGAACAAAAUCUUAGUGGAGAAACUCAGCUGAUAACUGGUAAUAAAAAUACAUCCAGCAGCCUAGAAAGGUGGCCCUGGUGGUGGUGCAGGAACCUCUAAACAACAGGGAUGUGUCUGUGAGGGAGGCCCUUGGCUGCAGCAGAGGAACUAAAAGUGCUGCACAGUGUAUCAGUGUUUUCACCUGCAUAGACAGUAUAUGAGACCUCUGCCUCGUUUCCACCUUUGCAAGAAAAAAAUAUAUAUCUCUUUCUUCUUUUGCUGGGGUACAACAAAUGACAUCUAUGCAUUCCAUAUUUAACACAGAAUAUGUCACACUGAUGAGUCAGCCAUCUGCAUCAAGGUGUCCUACUUUGGUAUGUUUGGCCUUUUCUCACUAAGUGUUUUCUCUAAUAUUUACUUAGGUACCAGCUUAAUUCUCUUUGCCAAGGGAUAAAACAGUGGCUUUAAUUAACAGCUAUUUACCACACAGUUAAGCCCUUUAGAAAGAAAAUUUUAAAAAACCUCAACCCAAGGAACAAAUGCAGAAGAGAACAAAUGCAUGAGCAGAAGACACAAGGUUUUAUUGGCCUUAAUGCUAAAAACGCAUCUGUGGCUGAAACCACAGGUGAUCUCUCACUGCUCAGAGCAGGAGAGCAGGACCAGGUAUGGUGCCAAAGCAAAGAAAGCACUACUUAUUCUGGAAGCAUGGUCCCACUGAAACAUAGCUCUGCAAAAAACCCCCAAAACUAAACAAUCCCAAAACCAAAUUAGGACUUUCCCUUUUCCUUAAAUCAAAUGUGAUCGGUUUCCCUCACUGCAAAAUCAGCCUGGAACUGGAGAACCAUCUUGGCCCUUUACCAUCAGUCGUAAACAUCCUUCAGCCAAAAUCAAAGCAUUACUUACAUCUGCAUGACCCCAAGGUUAUAAAUUUGCCUCAGAUAUGAAUGUCACGUUUAAAUAUGUGUUUGUUCAUCAUUAUUAAUACAAGGCUAAUACAAAGUGCUAAGUGUUUCUGACAUCCUGUUUUGUAACAGGAGCUAUUUCUCUCUUCUGUGCUUUGCAAGGCCAUGUUGCUCUUAGCUAUACUACUGCAUCAGAAGUAAAACUUCAGUAAAUGAUUUUUAUGAAGGUGUGCUUCAAGCUGACACUUCAUUUUGCAGUGACUUCAUUUUGCCAUUAACAGCAGAAAAUAUGGCAUAAAAUAUGAAGGACCAAGACUGUUUAGGGAAGAAUGUGACAUUUUUACAACUUUCCAUUGGCAUGUUUGUUUUGAAAGAUGAUGUUGCACAGAAAUUACUCUAAAAUUUGAAAACACAUAGGCAGAUAAAACUAUUUCAAAGUAGACUUUUUACUGUGGCUCUUUAGCACAGCUGACAAAAAAUAUCAAGGUUCCUAAUUGUGCUUCAUCUGCCGGUUUCCCUUCCAUGGGAAGUAGUCUUUCUUGAUCUGGGCAGCUGGCCAGCUUAGUGUCCAAUAGGUUACUCCAGUUAGGAAUAAAGCAUCUUUGGUGCAGUUUGGUUUAUUUACAAAAAUGUAAGAAGCCCUGCUGCUUUGAAUCCAGGAUAAAUCAAACAGCUGGGGACAGCUUCUUUAACACAGCUCUUUAAGCCAGCACCUGACCCAAGCACCAGUUUGCAAGGCUCCUCCACUGCCAGUUCUCCACAGAGCAAUUCUUCACUUCAUCUCCUCACUGCCAUCAAAUACAUCUCAAAAAUCUGAUGGACCUGGCCCACCAAAGUGGCCAAUGAGUGGUGGCACAGCUGCUCCCCGCCCCAUGUGAGACAGACUGCUUAGACUGCCAUAGCUCAGCGGUGAGGAUUUGGUGGUGGCCAGCCACACUGACAAACUCGGUCAUUAAUGCAAAGUGUACCUUCUCCUAGCAGGCCCAGGGAGACAUUCAGGAGGCUUGGGAGAUAUGAACCAGUGGGUAACUCUCACUAAACAAGAUCAUCCUGCAAGUGUGGCUGCCUGGGUGGCCCCUACUGGCAGAUCAAUAAUUAACCAUAUUGAACAAAGGCUAAUAGGGACACAUGAAACACAUUGUCAACACCUUUUAAACUCAGCCAUACCUAAAGGGACUGAAAAUCCUGCUGCAAAGGCUUUCCAAAAGCUCACACAGUCGAAGAGAUGCUGUUAAAGGGUGCAGUUGUGUUUGGGUGUUUGUGGUGGGUUGGCCUUGGCCGGAGAGCAGGUGCCUGCCAAGGCCACUCUGUAACUUCCCUCCUCAACAGGGCAGAUCAUAAAAGGCUCAUGGGUUGGGAUAAGGACAGGGAGAGGUGACUUACCAGGUACCACCACGAAUGAAACACACUUGACUUCAGGUGUUAAUUUAAUUUACUGCCAAUUAAAUCAGUGUAGAUUAAUGAGAAGAAUGAAUCUUAAAAACACCUUCUCCUUUGGGGCACGAGGAGAACAUGGCCCUCUCUUUUCCCUUGCUCAGCUUCAUUCAUGGUUUCCCUACCUCAACUCCCCUUAUGGCACAAGGGUACAGUGAACUGAGGAUGCAAUCAGUUCAUCACAUAUUGUCCUUGCUGCUCCUUCCUCCUGGGGAGGACUCCUCACACUUCUCCACUGCUCCUGUGUGGGGCUCCUUCUAGUCCCCCAUGGACUUCUGUGAGGGUUGGUCCAAAGACCCUUCGUUUGCCUCCCAGUCACCACAGGAUAAGGGGGGAAAGAGGGCUGAGACCACAGCCAGAGUCCUGCAGGAGUGCUCACUAGCUCGUGGGAAGGACAAUGGACCCGUCACGGGUGCCUGGGCUGUGUUUGCUGCUGGCCGAACUAGCUGUGCUGUACCUGUACCUGUAUCCCCAACAGAGCAAGGAGACUUCACUGCUCACGAGAUCUACCACCCCUCCUGGCAAGCUGCCCCUUGCCUUGAAAAGGACGAUAAGAAGCCCCCACAACUUUACCACCUCUGAGGCCUCCCCGACGGAGAAGAUAAGAUCUAUUUGCCCGUGCCAUGAGGACUUUGUAGGUGGUCUAUUGGCUCGGCAUCACAAGGACUUGUGUCUUCUGUUUGUGACUGUAACCCCCUCUUUCUCUCUUUUCUCUUCUCUUCUCUUUCUCUCUUUCUCUCCUUUUUCCUCUAUCGCACAUUGAUUGUGGGUAUCAGUAAAAGAUACAUUGAGUUUUGGUUAAAACUGAGUUCUCUUUGCUGCUUUUUGCACUUUGAAAUCAAAACGAACCAUCACGACCAUUAAACGGAUCAUGAAAACUUCUCCAAGCACAGCAGCUGGAGAGUGAAUUUUCCUGCACCUGUGGUUCCACCUUUUACCUCAUCUGCUCCAGCUGGUGGCUGCCAAGCGAGAGGAGUAUCCUCAAACAAUCUGCUCCUGCAUCCCCACAGGGUAAUUUGUAUCAACAAGCUGAUCUGAUGGAAAGCUAAUCCACAAGAGCAAAACACCAAUUUUCAUGAAAUCAGCAGACUUGCACAGAAGUAUGAAGAAAAAGAAUCCCUAACUUCAUGGCUAUGAACUAUAGAAGAGUUAUUUACAACAGAGGUGGAUGCAAACUGGGUUCUUAAGAUCCAGCCUUGCAGAGGAUACUCCUACUGCUCCUAGCUUCUUAUGCUAGAGAAGAACAUGAACCAAAUAUAAAUCAACAUUCAGGAGAUGUUGAUUUUGGAAUACAACAGAAUAUACUACACAAGAAUUUCAUAGAUAACUUAUUCUGCUGGACAGCUGGAUAUUCCUUGCAGGUUAAGGAGCUCCAAUUUCACCGAAGGGCAUGAAACAUGAAACUACAGCUACAUAUUAGAGAACAUGUGACAUUCCUACUAACUGCAAGAGCCAAGAACAGGCUGAUCCAGGAACCGACUGGAUCCAAGUAUGGAAAUGACCAGUCUCAAAACAUGCUAAGGAUAACCUAAGGAACAUGGCCCAGCUUUUACUUUAAACUAUGUGUGAUCUUGGUUUUGUCAAUGAAUUUCUCAACAUGGUCUUCACUAGAACCUUUCAACCACACACACACAUUUAAAUUUUGGAUUAAUGAGUUAAUAACUAUCAAUACUUAUUGAUUGUUAUUAAGACUAGAUGGGACUGGAGCUGACUGAAGAAGCACCCCAUGGUAAUUCAGCUGAUCACAGAAUAAACUGACAGAUAAAAGAACUAGCACAAAAUAACACUAAAAACAAAACUCUUCAACAUUACACUACAACAAGCCUUAAGUUAGCCAACAUCAUUCCAACACUUACUGUGGACUGCUGAAAGAAGAAAAGAGAAUUUAAGGAACACUCAGCACAGUAGGGGGACAAAACUGAAAAGAAAUGUCCUUUCAUAAAUCUUUGGUGGGCUAACGUCUGAACAGUACACUUCAUCUCAUCCUAAAGGACAUUACAGAAGUAGAGACUACAUAGAAGAAUGGCAAGGCCAGUCAGAGACACAGAAUAGUUUCAUACAAGAAACAAACAUGAUUCUUGAGUUUGGAAAGAAGGUGACAGUGCAAUGACUGAAUCUGUAUUUUUAACUGGCUCUCUGGAAGAGUUGUAAUUGGAAUGAUCUGCUACUUCUCACAUCCUUUAAAGUGGAAGGCUUUCUACACUGUUAGAAACACUGUCUCAAAUCGCAGAAAUAAGAUAUAUAAAUGGCACCAUAAGCCUGUCUUUUUUUUUUCCUACUGACAGUAAAGAAUGUAAUUCAGUUUCAAGAAACUAGCUAGAAAACCCACUACAAAUGCAAUUACCAAUGAUUUGAAACACAGAAAGCUGAA
Long non-coding RNA from Prinia subflava (tawny-flanked prinia), 10761 nucleotides. RefSeq lists it as uncharacterized. NCBI's taxonomy places the organism in Eukaryota, Metazoa, Chordata, Aves, Passeriformes, Cisticolidae. The transcript has 5 exons. The record is from RefSeq and is a predicted model, not a curated record.